AGGACGUGUGCCGAAGCCAGCCCCGCGGAAGACUGAGCAGUUUAUAUUGCCUCAUGGACUUGAUGUGGAGGCAUCAUGCGGGUCUCAGUGGGUGACUGAAUAUAUGGAAAGCUUUGGUUUUCCACAACUGCCCCGCCCAGCACCUCCAAAAAAACCUGCACCGCCUAAGGCCUCAUUUAGGAAGCUUCAACGUCCUCCUCAUCCUCGGACUGAAUACCAGACUGUGUUUGGUCCUAAGUUCCGCACCGCUGAUUUCGAUGUCCUCCUGUAUCGACAGCUCCAUGGAACAGCGUAAAAGCAGGUCGCUGGGAGCCAAAAUACUGCUAAAACAAGGCUGACCAACAGCCCCGCCCCUCAACAAAUAACAAAGAAACAAAAAUCAACAAAAACUCAAAUUUAAAUCUACACUGAACAAAAUUAUAAACG
This is a long non-coding RNA of Hemibagrus wyckioides, 426 nucleotides long. RefSeq lists it as uncharacterized. The record is from RefSeq and is a predicted model, not a curated record. NCBI's taxonomy places the organism in Eukaryota, Metazoa, Chordata, Actinopteri, Siluriformes, Bagridae. The transcript is spliced from 4 exons.